GCAGGCAUAGUUUAUAUAAAACAUUAGAUUGUGAUUCUAAAGCCAAGGACUAAACUCCUUUGCCUACC
RNAcentral lists this transfer RNA (68 nucleotides) under Grandisonia alternans. Its description in RNAcentral is "tRNA-His". It matches the Rfam family "tRNA". From Rfam's summary of the family: Transfer RNA (tRNA) molecules are approximately 80 nucleotides in length. Their secondary structure includes four short double-helical elements and three loops (D, anti-codon, and T loops). Further hydrogen bonds mediate the characteristic L-shaped molecular structure. tRNAs have two regions of fundamental functional importance: the anti-codon, which is responsible for specific mRNA codon recognition, and the 3' end, to which the tRNAs corresponding amino acid is attached (by aminoacyl-tRNA synthetases). tRNAs cope with the degeneracy of the genetic code in two manners: having more than one tRNA (with a specific anti-codon) for a particular amino acid; and 'wobble' base-pairing, i.e. permitting non-standard base-pairing at the 3rd anti-codon position. The record is from RNAcentral. Lineage: Eukaryota; Metazoa; Chordata; Amphibia; Gymnophiona; Indotyphlidae.